Long non-coding RNA from Lepidothrix coronata (blue-crowned manakin), 2621 nucleotides. RefSeq lists it as uncharacterized. The transcript has 2 exons. The record is from RefSeq and is a predicted model, not a curated record. NCBI's taxonomy places the organism in Eukaryota, Metazoa, Chordata, Aves, Passeriformes, Pipridae.
GCCCGCCGAGGGUCCGCGCCGCGGCCGGGCUGUGCUGCGGGGGCUGCGCGGGGCAGGGCAGCGCUCCCGCUACCUGCUCUCCUGGCUGGUGGGAAAUCGUAGUCAUAGACAUCAAACCCAGAUUCUCCUUUGCUUGGAGCAGGCUCCUGCUGGAGUGAGGUGCCCCGGCAGAGCCUGGCCAGCCCUGCCAUGCAUCCCCACCGCUCCCCCGGCCCGCGCCAGCCCCGCUUGGCAGAGCAGCCCAUCACGGCUGGGCAGUGCACAGGAGAGGACGGUGCCUGAGUCAGCAGGACCGUCUCAUGGCCAUGGCCUGUCUGUCCUUGGCCUGCUGGCUGCUUCUUCAUCACCCUCUCAGUUACCAGACUGGAAGGAGAGGAGCUGGCUGGUCCCUGGGAGAAGGAGCAUCCUUCUGGUCCCUGCUAGCCCAAUGGGAAGGGAACUGUGAGGGAAGUCUCAGCCCAGCUCUUACUGGGAGAGUAGGAGCACAGGUGGGAAGCUGGCAGUUCCCCUCUCAGCCUGGGCUGGCUGUGCCCUCGCCAGCCCCACACUUGCCUGUGCUGGCUGGGGGUUUCUGUGCCACCCACCAGCCCCUCAGUUCCCACAUCUCCCUACAUCCCACCAGCCAAAGAGCCCCAGCGGCAGCAGGCACCAGCCACACUGACCGUAUCCUCACUCCAAGAGCAAUAGCUGACCCCAGGGCCAGUGCCUCCCCCCUCCAAAGCACACGGGCCCUGCCCUGGCCCCAGAAGCACACAACGGGCAUAUGGCUGAGCCAGGCCCCCUCCCGCCCAGCGAGGCCGGGAGCGCCAGGCUGCCCGGUGCUGGGUCCCCGAGGAGGUGACCCUGUGCUUGGCACCUCUCCUUGCCUCUGUCCCACCAUGGGGACAGCCCUGCCCCUACCUCCCGGGAGAUGCUGUGAGGCUGAGUGAAUGUCCCUAAAGCACUUUCGGUUCUCCAGUGAAAGGCAACGCUGCUGCUCGCCCGCCGUGCCCGGCCCUCCAACCCCAUCCCCAUUAGGAGCUUCCAGGGAGUUACUGAAUGAUUCCCAAAAACAAAGGUGUCCCCAGCAGCCCGGACAAUCAGGUACGAAGGAGCAGGUGGCACCUGUAGCCUGCAUAAUGCUGGGCUCCAGAGGGACCCCGAGGCUGUAGCUCUGCAUUUCACUGUGCUCAGACAGCCCAGCCAUGACCUGGUCUGGGACUGUGCCUGCGGCACUCCGGGUGCCCAGCGCGCUGCUGUACACGGAGACACGCAGGAGAGCUGCAUCCCGAACGGACCUUUCGCUGGAGGAACACCCCACCCCGAUCUAUGCAAUCCAGGGGGGCAGCUCGCCCGCCGCGUUAGCCACCUGCGUUUCCCUUUGGUGCUGAUGUGUCCGUACAGUCGGGAGCAGCGGUGGGAGCAGAAGAACCAACGUAACACUGAGCUCUGUCCCGUCCUCAGCCCAAGAUGCUGGCUCAGACCUCUGCCGUGGCCCACGUUCCCUCCCAGCCCUCGGGAAGAGGCAGGGCUGGAGCCUCAGCGAGGGCAAGGAAAGCUGCCCAGAGGGAGCAGGGCACAGGGAGCCGCACACCCUGCAGGGCCUGUGGGCAGCACUGACCGUGGAGCCACCGCUGUGCUCCUGCCCCAGAGACAGGAGAGUGAUGGAGCCCCUGGGAAUGGAUUCACCUGCCCAGGGCAUCUCUGCCUCAGGGAAGGAGAAGAGUGGAGACAGGACACUGGGAGAAGAGUGAGUAGCCGUGAGUAGAGACAACAGAAAGGUCUUGCAGUGGUGAUGGGAGACGUGGCUUGGAGUGCAGCUGAGGGAAGGCAGGCUCUGCCAGGGACAGGGAGAUGGUCCCACAGCCCAGGGCACACGUGGGGAUCCUGAGUCCCAGGGGACAGGAGCCUGCGCUGGUGGGGCCCCCAGCGGCAGGAGGGACGUGACCCCAGUCCCCUGUGCCACAGUGCCAACCAGCCCAUGGCCAGCACGGCUCCAACCACCCCCGCCCAGCUCACUGUGCCCUCCCCAGGCCCUCAGGGUCACCCCCAGCCCGGCGGUGGCAGAAGAACAGGUCCUGUCCUGCUCCGUGUCCCUCCUGUGCCGUGCCCAGCGCCUCAGGAGCACGGGGAGCCAGGAGCAGCCAGGCUCCGGCCUCCAGAGCCGCGUGGCACCGCUGGGCCUGUUCCCCUCCAGUUUGUUCCAAAAAGCCUGUGCUGGAGCUGCGGCUGCUCCGUCACCCCUCACCAGUGGAGUCCUGAGACACUCCUGUACUUGGCACUUUAACCCUGAGAAAGCCAUUCCUUCUAGUAACAAUAAUACUGCAACGAGCUGCGUAAGAACCCCCCAUUACAGCAUCCCCCCUGCCAAAUCCCCCUCCUGCUCUCCAAAGCAUUUACUGCCUUUGACUUAGCACAUGCUGUACUAGGAGUAGGGAUAGUCCAUAGCGCUCGGUAACAUGUGCCCCUCUGUAAAUAACCUUGGAGUGAUGUGAAGUUUGAUUUAAAAAAAAAAAACAACAAAAAAAAAAACCAACCCCAAAUGGAAUCUCCAGACUCUAGGGACUUGGCCAGUACCCUCCUGUAAUGUUCAUUGUAUAUUUUUUUGAUGUACUAUAACUGUUGGGAAAAAAAAAAAAAAA